Molecule: ribosomal RNA, 256 nt
Filed under: uncultured bacterium
Lineage: Bacteria
Description: partial 16S ribosomal RNA
Rfam family: Bacterial small subunit ribosomal RNA
Source: RNAcentral
CGGACUGGUGAGUAACGCGUGAGGAACCUGCCUUUCGGAGGGGGACAACAGUUGGAAACGACUGCUAAUACCGCAUGACGUAUCGGGAUCGCAUGGUCUUGAUACCAAAGAUUUUAUCGCCGAAAGAUGGCCUCGCGUCUGAUUAGCUAGUUGGUGGGGUAACGGCCUACCAAGGCGACGAUCAGUAGCCGGACUGAGAGGUUGGCCGGCCACAUUGGGACUGAGAUACGGCCCAGACUCCUACGGGAGGCAGCAG